GCGUCCCUCCCCGUCCGCCCGACCUACUACGACGUACCGUACCGGUACGGGGGCGAGCGAGGUAGGGGAAGUCGUUGCACAAUAGGAACGAAAGUCUGAUGCAGCAACGCCGCGGUGGGGGAGUGGAAGCUUUCGGAGUGUAAACCCUUUCGACCCGGAAAAUGACCCGCAAGGGUUUGACGGUACGGGUAUAAGAAGCCCGGCUAACUACGUGCCAGCAGCCGCGGUAAUAC
This 233-nucleotide ribosomal RNA is filed under the name uncultured bacterium. Its description in RNAcentral is "partial 16S ribosomal RNA". It matches the Rfam family "Bacterial small subunit ribosomal RNA", at positions 300 to 526 of the family's 1533-position model. The record is from RNAcentral.